UUCCAUGGAUGCAGCUGCUAGAUGCUGAAGCCGUACGUAUACGUCUGCAUGCAGAUCAACCGCCGACCUGUGACCAAACAAAUCAAAUGCAGAGUGCCAUCGUGCAACUAGCUCACCAGUCACCUCCCUCCUCUCCUCAACUCGAGCACAAGCCUACCUUCGGAAAGGGAUGAACGAAAGCUAAUUAGACCUGUUGAUGCCGUGGGAAGGAAUUGCCAGAGUCAAAUGCAAGUUUUCAAUUGUUCGUUGCAUGUUUGCGGUUUGUGCUACCUUUUAUGGUACUGUAAAAUACUGUUAGACUUUUAUUAUUAAUUAGGAAGAGAUUCAGAGAACCGAACCGAAGCUGCAGCGUGUGGAAAGAAAGAGAGCAUCCAUCAGGAUAGAGAUCUACCGGGGACCAGGUUUGGAAAAGAAUAAUCGCUCAUGCGGCCGAAAGGAGGCUGAAGGGCUGUCCUGCCCGAGCUAGCGUUCUCGAGGCGUUGGCUGCCGGCGGGCAUGAUGCAAAACCACGACGGCCGGUUGGUUGGCUGGUGCCUGCUGGAGCAUGCAAAUUGGAGUGUUGCGACUGAGCACAGCAGGUUAACAGCCUCUUCACCUCUUGGUCCCUCGCAAAAGGCACGGGGCCAAGGUACGAUGAAGUACGUUUUCGAUUUUCUUUUGUUUCCAUGCAUGCUCCUGCUUUGGCGCCGCGCGAUAAAGAGAUCGCACCUGCAUUUCUCAGCUCCACCAGGAUGAUACUAACAAUAUAUCUCGAAAGCGACAAGGCUGAUAUAUAUCUUCAAAAAUGUAAUAGAAGCCGCAAGGCUUGAUCCACAUGAUGCCAUUGUGUAAGCGACGAGCUAGGCCUCGAUUGGAUUGUUGGAUUUCUUAACCGAUUGUAAACGUAUACACUUGUAUUUUAUAGGGCUCAAGAAAAACCAGGGAGUAAUGGCCGCUUCGCAGCUAGGCAUAAAGCAACCUAGAUGAUAACAUCCACCCGUAUGACACGAGAUAACAUGAUUUUUACGUCUUCUUAA
Molecule: long non-coding RNA, 1016 nt
Filed under: Hordeum vulgare
Lineage: Eukaryota; Viridiplantae; Streptophyta; Magnoliopsida; Poales; Poaceae
Description: long non-coding RNA (HVUL_LNC001683)
Source: RNAcentral